AUGAACUAUUGUACAUGCAUAGAAGAGGAAAGAAACAGAGCAUUUACCCGAGGUGAGGAGCACUUGCCGCCGACCUCAAAUCUUGAUGAUGGCAUGUUGACUGAUGGCAAAGAAAAGCCAUUAGAAGUUGCAAGGAACCUUGUCAUGGAAAAGGUUCAGAAGUUCUUCAAGCCCGAACUUCUCAACAGGAUUAGUGAGAUUGUGAUAUUCGAGUCACUUUCCUAUGAACAAAUGAAAGAGGUUGCAAAAUGUCAGAUUAAGAACGUUGUAGCUAGAGUAGCCAAUAAGGGCAUCUCUAUGUCUACAACCGGUGCCUUGUUGGACGUCAUAAUGUCGGAGUCACACAAUCCGAUGUAUGGUGCAAGACCCAUAAGAAGGUGGGUGGAAAGAAAUGUGAUAACAAUGCUCUCUGAGAUGCUAGUCAAAGGUGAGGCUGGUGAAGGUUCAACAAUCUUCAUCGAUGCGACAGAUGACAAUAAGGGGUUGAAAUAUGAAAUGGUGAAGAUGCCGAAUUGGAUGGAGAAGUGUGGAGACUGUGAGGACCGUAUGGCGAGCCUAGCUGGGAUAACAAGGAGCGCACGUAAGGUAGAGCAGAGAAGAGCGGCAUCGAUCGGCAAGGCGGCAGCCACGGAGUUGAUCAGGAAUGGCGGCAAGGUCAUCAUCGCCGACGUGCAGGACGACCUGGUCAUCGGAGUCGGUCGCCGCGGAGCUUGGCCCGGCUGUGGGUUCUAA
This 732-nucleotide ribosomal RNA is filed under the name Triticum aestivum (bread wheat). Its description in RNAcentral is "partial small subunit ribosomal RNA". Lineage: Eukaryota; Viridiplantae; Streptophyta; Magnoliopsida; Poales; Poaceae. The record is from RNAcentral.